This 1717-nucleotide long non-coding RNA is filed under the name Equus caballus (horse). RNAcentral's name for it is "lncRNA (ENSECAG00000052102.1)". Lineage: Eukaryota; Metazoa; Chordata; Mammalia; Perissodactyla; Equidae. The record is from RNAcentral.
AGUCUUCGGAGAUGCCAUGAACCUCCCUACCUAAUAAAUCACAGGCCCCCAGUUAUUGUUAAAUGUCCCAUCAGUCUCUAAUAAACUCCCUGCCAACAGGGGUAGGUUAUUUAUUAUGCUGCCUGGACAAGAAUGAAUGGGGCCCCGUUCUCACAAGGAGAAGAGCAAACGUACCGCCUUCCUCCCUGAAGACUGAGGCUGUGGUAUUAAAUGGGGCAAUUAAUCAACACGGGCCUUGGGCAGCGGGGAGUCUGGCCCACAGUGAGGGAGGAUGGCCUGCGGUUCUUUACCGAAAGCCAGCCAGGCAAAUCUCCACGGCAGGAGGUGGCAGUGCAGGGUGCAGGGGCCCGGACCUUUGCUGCAUCUCCCCCUCUCCUAAUUCCUGUCUGAAAAGGUACCAAAGAUGUAGUCACCCCAUAGGUCAUGAGGCACGUGUAAAAAGUUAUUCUCCAUGUUGGGAAGUAGCCACGUAGGAUUGAGCAGGGUCACGAAACAAUAACUUCUGUCCAGAAGGCCAGAUAUUAUCACUUGAUAAACUUGAUAUAACUUAAGUUUAUUGAUGGUGCUAGUCCACUGAGCAGAUGAACUGAAGAAUACAGAUGGGAAAGAGAACUAGGAAGCAUGUGCUCAGUCCCUGUUCGCUGGAUAAAUAGUACAUGGUAAGCACUGGCCCAUGGAAAGCGGUGCAUCAACACUUAAAGGAGCCAGGAGCUAUGAGUGCAAGAAACAGUGUGUAAGUUGGGCCUUGCUGUUACCUGCCACAAAUUAGAUCCCAAACUUAGAUGAUGCUUCAUGGUCUGCAAGUUAAAACCCGAACUCCUCACCUUUGCCGUUAAUCAAGCCCCAAUCUACAUUUCCAACUGAAUUUCUCUAUUUCUCUUUAUUGCUACCUAACUACCCCCUUUGGGAGAGCAUGACACCUUCACUUUAUAUUCCUUAUGGUGGCAGGCAAGGUCUUCCAUAGUGGGACCAAUAUAUCCCUGCAGCCUCUUUCCUGGUAAUUGCUGCCAUACUUGCCUCCGUUCACAGUAAAGCUCAUACCUUCCCUAAACUACUGCGGUUUCUCAGGCUUCCACGCCUUUGCACAAACUGUUCCUUUUGCCCAGAAUAUCUUUCUAGCUUGUCUGCCUGGGGAGCUCUCCUUCCACCCCCACUGCCUGAUGAAUUCCUUAUCUAUGCUUCAGGAUCAGCUCACAAAAUCAGCCCCUCAGUGCUUCCCUGGACCUGAGGUUUGUCUCCUGAUGCUGCUGUCUUGGCAGAAGUGCUGGACUCCAGGGACUAGCUCCCAGGUACAUAACGUGAGGAAGGGCCUUCCAGGUAGACAGAACAGCAUAAAAAGAGGCUGGGGUCCCAUUGUGAUGUUUAUCCUGGAGAAGGCUGGGAAGCAGACAACAGACCACCUGGUUUCUGUGUAUGUUACUUUCAUACCUUACCUAGUUAUUAAAUGGUCUCCUACCUUUGUGUUUUAUGUUUACAGCCCUAAAAUGAUGGUCAACAACAUUAUUACACUUUUUAACUACUGGGGAAAAAAUUUUAUUGAUUUGUAUUUUUAGCAAUAGCAAUACAACUUUUUCCUAGUAACAUUACCGCAAUAUUUUGUCCAUAAAAUAUUGUAACAACAAACACAAUAGCAGAAUGCCUAUAAAACUAUAGAUGUUCUUUUCUGGAAAAGCAGUCUUCCCGUUUCUUUUGGGAUGAGAGCCAGGUUCUUCGUCAG